UACAGAGGGGGCAAGCGUUGUUCGGAAUUACUGGGCGUAAAGGGCGCGUAGGCGGCCUUCUAAGUCGAACGUGAAAUCCCCGGGCUCAACCCGGGAACUGCGUCCGAUACUGGAAGGCUUGAAUCCGGGAGAGGGAUGCGGAAUUCCUGGUGUAGCGGUGAAAUGCGCAGAUAUCAGGAGGAACACCGGUGGCGAAGGCGGGUCUCUGGGCCGAUACUGACGCUGAGGAGCGAAAGCGUGGGGAGCGAACAGG
This 253-nucleotide ribosomal RNA is filed under the name uncultured bacterium. RNAcentral's name for it is "partial 16S ribosomal RNA". It matches the Rfam family "Bacterial small subunit ribosomal RNA", at positions 524 to 776 of the family's 1533-position model. The record is from RNAcentral.